RNAcentral lists this ribosomal RNA (255 nucleotides) under uncultured bacterium. Its description in RNAcentral is "partial 16S ribosomal RNA". It matches the Rfam family "Bacterial small subunit ribosomal RNA", at positions 96 to 353 of the family's 1533-position model. The record is from RNAcentral.
UGGCGGACGGGUGAGUAAUGUCUGGGAAACUGCCUGAUGGAGGGGGAUAACUACUGGAAACGGUAGCUAAUACCGCAUAACGCGCAAGACCAAAGAGGGGGACCUUCGGGCCUCUUGCCAUCGGAUGUGCCCAGAUGGGAUUAGCUAGUAGGUGGGGUAACGGCUCACCUAGGCGACGAUCCCUAGCUGGUCUGAGAGGAUGACCAGCCACACUGGAACUGAGACACGGUCCAGACUCCUACGGGAGGCAGCAUG